This 1299-nucleotide long non-coding RNA is filed under the name Columba livia (rock pigeon). RNAcentral's name for it is "partial uncharacterized LOC102092662, transcript variant X7". The record is from RNAcentral. Lineage: Eukaryota; Metazoa; Chordata; Aves; Columbiformes; Columbidae.
GGCCAGCCCGGGGAGGAAGAUGGAGGAGCCGCGGCCGGGCGGGCACCGCGGCCGUGCCAGGAGCGCGGCGGAGGGGCUGCUCUUGAUGGGUGGAAAACACCGCUUCUCGCUCUCCUCACGGCAUGGAAAAUACCGAAACACGCUUUAGGAGAAAAAAAUAACACAGCAACAACCCCCAAACAGCUGAGGAUUGAUGUAUCUUCAGGGAAGAAGCCGUCGCCGCUCGCCUGGCUCCUCACGACAACCUGCCCGCCAUUUGCUUAAUUAAAAGCAUAUACUUGAUGUGAUCAGAUGUGGUAAUACCGUAAAAAAAAAAACCCAAACCAAACCAAAAUACCCCGUAACAUCCAAACGCUCGUUGUUGGAGGCUGCAGCCAAGCUCGGCUGCUUAUUCCAGAAGUUUCUACAGGGGAGGGAGCACCCACUGCGGAGCCUUUGCCGCAGCGCCGGGAGGAGAUGCCGAGGAUGCGCCACCUCUCCCCUUCCCAAGCCUCCCCCCUUCGCUCGAUUUUCCCCAUCCUUGGGAAAAAAACGCUGCUGGGAGCGCUGGAAAUGUGGAGAACGCACCAAACGCACGUGGGGACAGACAAACGUAUUCUGGGGUCACUUCAACUCUGGAGGAGAAGCCCUGGGAUGUGUUGGUUUGGAGAUGCUCCUUGUGCUCACCGGAGGUACCAAGAAGCUGCUUGUUGGGGAUGUUUCCACGUUUUUGAGGUUGGCAACACCCCGUGGGACUCGGAAUUAACUUUUCUUUGGUAGUCGAGGACAAACGAGUGAGAAUCACCUUGGGAGCGCUGAACUUUUACCCCCCUCUCCUUCGGACUGAAGAGCUUCUAGAACUACAUCGGUGAGGCUUCCAAGUUAAACAAAACCUGAAUUCCCGCUGCCAAAAAGCAAGCGAGCGAUAGAAACCUCCACAUCUCCUCCGUGAGGGGGGACACCGCGGUCUCCCGAGAUUAUUCUGGUAUCCCCAAGAGUUAAAAAUGCUGCAUCGUGAGACCUGCGGAGGUCAAACGAAAGCCAGAGCUCACCGAGAAACUCUUCUCCGUAUCGCUCAAGGGGUUUUUGAGCAUAGCAGGUCUCCACGCACCAUUAUUUUUGUGUCUUUGUCAGGACCAAAGGAGCGAUAAUAGUGUGUUCAGUCUGCUUUGUUUAAAACACCGUCGAGUUGCUUUGCUAUCAAAAUGGUGUCUGGUGAAAGAAAAGCUCUGGUGGUGGCUGGCUCGGUGGUUAUUUUGUGCCAACCGAUCCCUCGUGGCUUUGGGCUGUGGGUUCGUGUUAAACCCUUGUCCUCCAGCG